UAGAGAUUUACUACAGAAAGGGUUAAUUUUUUUUAGAUAGACACUUCUGAGUUUGAGUGCUCAACAAAGUCAUGCUAUCAGUAUAUUGUUUCCGUGAUGGCAGAUUUUUUGGCUGAUCUUAGGUAGCUUUCUUACAAGGACUCCUUCAACUUUUGUGCAAUUGCCCUAAUUUUUUCUCCAUUAAAAGUGAAAAGGCUGAUGGUUUGUUCCUAUACAAAACUUAAAAUGUUUCCAGAUACGAGUACGAUCGAGUUAUUAUUCAUUCCCUGUUCCGAGGUGUUUUUUCCUUUGAGGAUACUCGAUUAGUAAACGGUAUAAACAAGAUAGGAAAGAGAACACGGUUUAUUGUCCAAUGCUUUGUUUUAUGGGUUUUCAUUGCCCAAAUUGCUUUUCGCAAAGAAACCUGAAUAUUGGAUGAUAACUUUAUAUAUUGGUCUUAAAUAUGCGAGCUUGCUUCUUUGUGGGAAAAACCUGUACAAGUAUGUGAAAAGUGAAAACAUUUGCUUUUUUUUCCUUUUUUUUCUUUUUUUUUUUCAGAUGAAUGAGGAAAGGAUCUACAUGGUGGAUAUUCUACCAGACCCAAAAAUGGUCCUCUCAAUGCUAAUUAGUGGAUAGGUGUCAAUAAUUUUGGAGAUGGAGCUAUUGGAUCUUUUGUUAGACAGUUGAGGUCAAUAGUAAAAUAGAGUAGUUGGUAUGAGCCACAACACAUACAAUUGUACUGUAGUCAAUUUCUUUGAUUUGUAUUUUAUAACUUAUAAAAAUUGCUUGAUUGUUUUGGAAUUCAAUGCGCUAAAUUUUGAUGAUUCUA
Long non-coding RNA from Rhododendron vialii, 808 nucleotides. RefSeq lists it as uncharacterized. The transcript has 2 exons. The record is from RefSeq and is a predicted model, not a curated record. NCBI's taxonomy places the organism in Eukaryota, Viridiplantae, Streptophyta, Magnoliopsida, Ericales, Ericaceae.